GGAGAAGAGCCUGCUGAGUGCAGUGAGGCCGGUCUCCUGCAGGAGGGAGUACAGCCAGAGGAGUUUGUGGCCAUCGCGGACUACGCUGCCACCGAUGAGACCCAGCUCAGUUUUUUGAGAGGAGAAAAAAUUCUUAUCCUGAGACAAACCACUGCAGAUUGGUGGUGGGGUGAGCGUGCGGGCUGCUGUGGGUACAUUCCGGCAAACCAUGUGGGGAAGCAUGUGGAUGAGUACGACCCCGAGGACACGUGGCAGGAUGAAGAGUACUUCGGCAGCUAUGGAACUCUGAAACUCCACUUGGAAAUGUUGGCAGACCAGCCACGAACAACUAAAUACCACAGUGUCAUCCUGCAGAAUAAAGAAUCCCUGACGGAUAAAGUCAUCCUGGAUGUGGGCUGUGGGACUGGGAUCAUCAGUCUCUUCUGUGCACACUAUGCGCGGCCUAAAGCGGUGUACGCGGUGGAGGCCAGUGAGAUGGCACAGCACACGGGGCAGCUGGUCCUGCAGAACGGCUUUGCCGACAUCAUCACCGUGUACCAGCAGAAGGUGGAGGAUGUGGUGCUGCCCGAGAAGGUGGACGUGCUGGUGUCUGAGUGGAUGGGGACCUGCCUGCUGGUGAGGGCGGGCGUGCGGGCAGCUGGGGGCCCGAGAAGGUGGACGUGCUGGUGUCUGAGUGGAUGGGGACCUGCCUGCUGUUUGAGUUCAUGAUCGAGUCCAUCCUGUAUGCCCGGGAUGCCUGGCUGAAGGAGGACGGGGUCAUUUGGCCCACCAUGGCUGCGUUGCACCUUGUGCCCUGCAGUGCUGAUAAGGAUUAUCGUAGCAAGGUGCUCUUCUGGGACAACGCGUACGAGUUCAACCUGAGCGCUCUGAAGUAAGUGUCCACAGCUGGGACUGGCACCGUCUUGUGGGGCCUCCUGGUCCACAGUCUGCAGGUGGGCCAAGGCCCUGGGAGAUCCCAUACGACGGUUGGAUAAAUGAGGGUACCUGUGCACCCAGAUAGGACAAUCUGUUGUAGCAUUGGAGUAAUUAAAGCAGUAUGGUGCUAUAACAAGAAAAGACAGAUGGGCAGAGCAGGGUAGAAUGCAAGGAACAAAAAUUUUCGUAUGUGAAAAAGGUGGCAUUACGAUUAGGAGAGAGUGAGGGCCAAGUCAGCAAAUUAUUCUGGAGCAGUUGAUUAGCCCUUGUUCUCUCACGCCAUACGUGAAAACUGAAUUCUGCAUGGAAUCAGCGUCAACGACAGACAUCCAUGGGGGCCUGUGUGCACCAUCUUAGGUGGAGAAAUGAGCAGCAACAAUGGAUGGAAUGGACCCUGGGCUAGAUAGAAUCUGGCAGUCUAUGUGGCAGAAAUCAGCAAAAACACGAUUGUAAAAGCAAACAAGUAAUUAG
RNAcentral lists this small RNA (1386 nucleotides) under Pan troglodytes (chimpanzee). Its description in RNAcentral is "retained intron". The record is from RNAcentral. Lineage: Eukaryota; Metazoa; Chordata; Mammalia; Primates; Hominidae.